RNAcentral lists this transfer RNA (71 nucleotides) under Mesostigma viride. RNAcentral's name for it is "tRNA-Gly". It matches the Rfam family "tRNA". Rfam says of the family: Transfer RNA (tRNA) molecules are approximately 80 nucleotides in length. Lineage: Eukaryota; Viridiplantae; Streptophyta; Mesostigmatophyceae; Mesostigmatales; Mesostigmataceae. The record is from RNAcentral.
GCGGAUAUUGCAUAGUGGUAAUGCCCCAGUUUUCCAAACUGGAGAGACGGGUUCGAUUCCCGUUAUCCGCU